Molecule: ribosomal RNA, 486 nt
Filed under: uncultured bacterium
Lineage: Bacteria
Description: partial 16S ribosomal RNA
Rfam family: Bacterial small subunit ribosomal RNA
Source: RNAcentral
GACGAACGCUGGCGGCGUGCUUAACACAUGCAAGUCGAACGCUGAAGACCUGGCUUUUGUUGGGUUGGCUGAGUGGCGAACGGGUGAGUAACACGUGAGUAACCUGCCCUCUUCUUUGGGAUAACGCCCGGAAACGGGUGCUAAUACUGGAUAUUCACUGGCCUUCGCAUGGGGGUUGGUGGAAAGGUUUGUUCUGGUGGGGGAUGGGCUCGCGGCCUAUCAGCUUGUUGGUGGGGUGAUGGCCUACCAAGGCUUUGACGGGUAGCCGGCCUGAGAGGGUGACCGGUCACAUUGGGACUGAGAUACGGCCCAGACUCCUACGGGAGGCAGCAGUGGGGAAUAUUGCACAAUGGGCGAAAGCCUGAUGCAGCGACGCCGCGUGAGGGAUGGAGGCCUUCGGGUUGUAAACCUCUUUCGCUCAUGGUCAAGCCGCAACUGUGGGUUGUGGUGAGGGUAGUGGGUAAAGAAGCGCCGGCUAACUACGUG